Molecule: ribosomal RNA, 262 nt
Filed under: uncultured Lactobacillus sp.
Lineage: Bacteria; Bacillati; Bacillota; Bacilli; Lactobacillales; Lactobacillaceae
Description: partial 16S ribosomal RNA
Rfam family: Bacterial small subunit ribosomal RNA
Source: RNAcentral
UCCGACUGAGUGGCGAACUGGUGAGUAACACGUGGGUAACCUGCCCAGAAGAAGGGGAUAACACCUGGAAACAGAUGCUAAUACCGUAUAACAACAAGAACCACAUGGUUCUUGUUUGAAAGCUGGCCUUUGUGCUAGUGCUUCUGGAUGGACCCGCGGCGUAUUAGCUAGUUGGUGAGAUAAUAGCUCACCAAGGCAAUGAUACGUAGCAGACCUGAGAGGGUAAUCUGCCACAAUGGGACUGAGACACGGCCCAUACUCC